Molecule: ribosomal RNA, 468 nt
Filed under: uncultured bacterium
Lineage: Bacteria
Description: partial 16S ribosomal RNA
Rfam family: Bacterial small subunit ribosomal RNA (bases 49-468)
Source: RNAcentral
GGGGGGGGGGGGGGGGGGGGGUGGCGCGGGGGGGUCGGGCGGGGGGGGGGGGCGUGGGGGGGGUGCGGGGGGGGCGAGCGGGUGAGGAGCGGGUGCGUAGCCUGUCCUUGACUUAGGGAGAACUUCCGGAACCUGGGGCUCAUCCCGGAUAGGUGCUCCUGCUGCAUGUUGUGGGUUCGAAAGUUUCGGCGGUUGGGGCUGGACUGGCGGCUUAUCAGCUGGUUGGUGGGGUAUCGGCUUACCCAGGCUGUGCCGGGUAGGCGGCCGGUGCGGGUGAACGGCCACAUUGGGACUGAGAUACGGCCCAGACUCCUACGGGAGGGAGCAGUGGGGAAUAUUGCACAAGGGGCGGAAGCCUGAUGCAGCAACGCCGCGUGCGGGAUGACGGCCGUCGGGUUGGAAACCGCGUUCGCCUGUGACGAAGCGUGAGUGACGGUAAUGGGUAAAGAAGCACCGGCUAACUACGUG